UAUCAUUCUUUGUUAUUAUUAUGCCUUGGAUUCCACUUAAUCCAUUUUCCCCCUUGUAUUAGUGAAAAACCUCCGUGUUCAGCUAUUUGCAGAUUGUAGCCAUCUUGAUUUUUGGGCUGCGAACAUAUUCGACUUUAAGGCUGUGAAGGAGAUUAAGAUUUUGCUAGUUCUUCGCUUUCCUGUAUUUUCCCAAAAAGGAAUCCAAUCUGAGAGGAGUUAGCGUUUUAGACCAAUGGCAAUUCUCUGAUUAGAUUUUUCUAACUGAUGGAUGACACACUCACCAAUCUUUUCACAUUGACAAGUUUCGUCAAUGAUCAUUUCAUACAAUUCAUUGGGCAUCUUGUACUUAGAGAUGUAGACAGAUGGAAAGAACAUUUUGUGAUCAAUCCAGCGGUCAUUUCUUCAGUAUAAUGUAUAAAAAGUUACACCAGCAGCACAUCUUCACAGCCAGAAACUGUUGGCCAAAACCACGAUAUAUGUGAAAGAGGAACUGUUCGUAGUACCAAUGAUACGUGAUCUUUAAUUUUAAAUACCAGUUAUAUCACUGCCAUUGUUCCUUUGUUUUUAAAAGGGUAAUGAUCUUUUUCCUUUGUGCUUAAAUUUCCAGAAAAGUCAAGCACGUAAAUCAAAGCUUUCAGUCUAGAUUCUUAUAUGUUAGAUGAAGUGGAAUGGCCAAUAUCUUGAGCUUUUGCCAAUUGCUACUGGACU
Prosopis cineraria is the source of this 708-nucleotide long non-coding RNA. RefSeq lists it as uncharacterized. The record is from RefSeq and is a predicted model, not a curated record. Lineage: Eukaryota; Viridiplantae; Streptophyta; Magnoliopsida; Fabales; Fabaceae. The transcript is spliced from 3 exons.